This is a long non-coding RNA of Oreochromis aureus, 319 nucleotides long. RefSeq lists it as uncharacterized. The transcript has 3 exons. NCBI's taxonomy places the organism in Eukaryota, Metazoa, Chordata, Actinopteri, Cichliformes, Cichlidae. The record is from RefSeq and is a predicted model, not a curated record.
CUCCCACCUGUGCUGAGUUUCAGGUGGAGUCCCGCCUCCUUCCAGGAAGCAGCUCACCUGUGUGUCCGUGUUUAGUGUCCAGGUGUGGAGUGGAGCUUGUUGUUGGUGUGUGAAGAAACUACUGACUGAAGAUGAUGAUGGAGGAAGAGGAGGACAGAGCAGAGUCUGCAGGGUCCAGCUGUCCGUCUGUGAGGAGUGACCAGUCCAAAGGUCUAAAUCCUCCAGACUUCAGUGCUGAACCUGGACCAACGAGAGGUCAGAGGUCACAGUCUGCAGGGUCCAGCUGUCCAUCCAUGAGGAGUGACCGGUCCAAAGGUCA